UUUGGAAGUAAAAGUCGUAACAAGGUCUCCGUUGGUGAACCAGCGGAGGGAUCAUUACCGAGUUAUACAACUCAUCAACCCUGUGAACAUACCUAAACGUUGCUUCGGCGGGAACAGACGGCCCCGUAACACGGGCCGCCCCCGCCAGAGGACCCCCUAACUCUGUUUCUAUAAUGUUUCUUCUGAGUAAAACAAGCAAAUAAAUUAAAACUUUCAACAACGGAUCUCUUGGCUCUGGCAUCGAUGAAGAACGCAGCGAAAUGCGAUAAGUAAUGUGAAUUGCAGAAUUCAGUGAAUCAUCGAAUCUUUGAACGCACAUUGCGCCCGCCAGUAUUCUGGCGGGCAUGCCUGUUCGAGCGUCAUUACAACCCUCAGGCCCCCGGGCCUGGCGUUGGGGAUCGGCGGAGCCCCCUGCGGGCACACGCCGUCCCCCAAAUACAGUGGCGGUCCCGCCGCAGCUUCCAUUGCGUAGUAGCUAACACCUCGCAACUGGAGAGCGGCGCGGCCACGCCGUAAAACCCCCAACUUCUGAA
RNAcentral lists this small RNA (533 nucleotides) under Fusarium solani. Its description in RNAcentral is "eukaryotic LSU rRNA". The stretch from base 209 to 362 matches the Rfam family "5.8S ribosomal RNA". Lineage: Eukaryota; Fungi; Ascomycota; Sordariomycetes; Hypocreales; Nectriaceae. The record is from RNAcentral.